UCUAGAACUCAAGAUAUGGGCGGAACACUGAACAGUGUCUAGGCUGCAGGACAGAUUCCAACUUCUCUGUUGUUGCUACCAUUUACACUCGAAAAUGAUACUUUUAAAUCUUGGACUCCUCAUUAAAGUUUUAGGCCUAUGUCUUAGCUUCCCAAU
Populus trichocarpa (black cottonwood) is the source of this 156-nucleotide non-coding RNA. Lineage: Eukaryota; Viridiplantae; Streptophyta; Magnoliopsida; Malpighiales; Salicaceae. The record is from Rfam.